This 880-nucleotide long non-coding RNA is filed under the name Physcomitrium patens. RNAcentral describes it as "long non-coding RNA (PPAT_LNC007791)". The record is from RNAcentral. Lineage: Eukaryota; Viridiplantae; Streptophyta; Bryopsida; Funariales; Funariaceae.
UAUAUAUAAAUAUAAAUAAUAAUAAUAAUAAUAUUAAAGAUACAGUGCUGAAUUAAACUAGAUAUUUUUUAUACAUAGCAAAAAAAUAAAAAAUAAUAAUGUAUAACAUAUUAUAAUUUUUUUAAACAUAACCUUGUAAGUAUCUUUUUGAAGAAUUUCAGCUUAUACACAAGAAUGUAGACAAUAUUUAACAACUUUAUUUUAUUCAUUUACAUCUCUGAGUGGAAAAUUCUUUAAGUCUGAUAAUAAAUAAUACAAGCAUAUAUUGAUACUUAUUUAAAACAUUAGUUAUCUUUAAAUAGUUUGUAUUUUCUACAAAUAGAAGAUUUUUUUUGAUUUUAAAAAAAUUAAUUUAAUGAAAACACUAAUUUGGGCCUAAAAUUCCAUUUGAUCAAAUAAAAUAACUUGCCAAAGUUAUAUAUUUUUUUCAAAUUGGUAUUUAUAGGAUAAAAAAAUAUACAUAUAUCAAAUUCAAAAUCUAAAAAUAACUAAAUAUAGAAUUAUAUAUAUAUAUAUAUAUAUUUAGCUAAUUUUAUUUUUAUAACUUCUAUAUUUUAUUAUUAAAAUAGUUGUAAUAUAAAAAUCCAAUAUCACCUCAAAUAAUUUUAUUUAUUAUAUUUUCUAGAAAAUUAAUUUAAUUUUUAUUUUUAUGUAUUAAUCUAUAAAAAUUUAAGCAUUAAGAAAAAAAAUGUAUGAUUACUAAUGUAUUUUAAAUUCAUAUUACUGUAAAAAAAAGUUAUAAUCUGAGCUUUUUUUAAAGAAAUAUUUAAGAAAUUUUUUUAAUUAUAUAUUUGGAUUAAAAAAAUAUUUAUUCUCCAAAAAAAAGCAUAUAAAGUCUUAAGGGCAUAAUAAUAAAAAAACUCAUAUAUAAUAGACAUGA